This 240-nucleotide ribosomal RNA is filed under the name Rhodosorus marinus. Its description in RNAcentral is "partial Bacterial large subunit ribosomal RNA". It matches the Rfam family "Bacterial large subunit ribosomal RNA", at positions 495 to 723 of the family's 2925-position model. Lineage: Eukaryota; Rhodophyta; Stylonematophyceae; Stylonematales; Stylonemataceae. The record is from RNAcentral.
UGAGUACCGUGAGGGAAGGGUGGAAAGUACCCCGGGAGGGGAGUGAAAUAGUACCUGAAACCGUGUGCCUACAAUCCGUCAGAGCCCGGCUGCCACUUGUGGUGUUGGGGUGAUGGCGUGCCUUUUGAAGAAUGAGCCUGCGAGUUAGUGAUAUGUGGCGAGGUUAACCCGUGAGGGGCAGCCGUAGCGAAAGCGAGUCUUAAUAGGGCGACUAAGUUUGUUGGAUUAGACCCGAAACCG